ACCUAACGCCAUCUACUUCAGAGUCCCACUACUCCAACAGUGCGCGGCAUGUCAGCUCUCUUAGGUUCUCGUCAUAACUCAUUGGCAUGCCUUACGCAGACGGAAAUGAGAUGAGGAACAAUACGACUUACAUUUACCAUGGCCAAAGAGGGGCAAGAAAAGACAUUGCAGUUUCCUCACGAUCAAAUUUUAAAAAAGGAAAACAAAAAAGAGGAAGAAAAAAAAAAAACCCAAAACAGAAGAAAUAUCUUCGUCCAAGUUCUGGGAAUCCUGCUGAUUUAAAAGUGGCAAUAGAAGUCUAUAGUUGGGAGUAAUAAAUACAAAAUCCUGG
RNAcentral lists this long non-coding RNA (331 nucleotides) under Rattus norvegicus (Norway rat). RNAcentral describes it as "long non-coding RNA NONRATT031218". The record is from RNAcentral. Lineage: Eukaryota; Metazoa; Chordata; Mammalia; Rodentia; Muridae.